AACCCUUUAUUACUAUUAAGUAAUUUUAUAAUUAUAUAAAAGCUUUUAUGCUAAAACUAGUAACAAGAAAUUGAAUUUCUCCAAAAUUUAAGCAUAAACCAAAAUGGACAAACCAUUGGUAAUUAACGUCAAUAAAAGCAUUAUAGCAACCUACCUAGAAAAACCUAUAAUUUUUUCACGUUACCCUUACACAAGCAAAUUCCUGGAAAGAUUAAAAGAGAGGGAAGGAACUCGGCAAAUUUUAACCCCGCCUGUUUACCAAAAACAUCGCCUCUUGACAAAAUAUAAGAGGUCCAGCCUGCCCAGUGAUAUACUUAAACGGCCGCGGUACCCUGACCGUGCAAAGGUAGCAUAAUCAUUUGUUCUUUAAAUGAGGACUUGUAUCAACGGCAUUACGAGGGUUAUACUGUCUCCCCUUUCUAAUCAGUGAAACUGACCUCCCCGUGAAGAGGCGGGGAUAAAAACACAAGACGAGAAGACCCCAUGGAGCUUUAAACCCAAUAACAACUCUCUCUAAGUAACCUUUAAAGACACAGACGCACUGUUUAUUGGUUUUAGGUUGGGGUGACCACGGAGUAUAAAUUAACCUCCCUGACGAAUAGAUAUCAUCUUUAUCCAAGAGCCACUGCUCGAAGAAUCAAAAAUUUGACAUUACAUGAUCCGGCAACCGAUCAACGAACCAAGUUACCCUGGGGAUAACAGCGCAAUCCAUUUCAAGAGCCCCUAUCGACAAAUGGGUUUACGACCUCGAUGUUGGAUCAGGGUAUCCCAGU
Molecule: ribosomal RNA, 773 nt
Filed under: Limnonectes sp. MWH-2020
Lineage: Eukaryota; Metazoa; Chordata; Amphibia; Anura; Dicroglossidae
Description: partial large subunit ribosomal RNA
Rfam family: Bacterial large subunit ribosomal RNA
Source: RNAcentral